CUCUUUGUACAUUGGCAGUAUUGUAGUCAAUGAAGUUUCUCCAAGAUGUGAUUAUUGCUAACUGAAAAUGAGUAUUUAUUCAUUUUUUUGUUGGCUUAGUUAAUCAAGAAAAGUCACUACCACAGAUCACCAAGGAU
This is a small nuclear RNA of Rhinopithecus roxellana (golden snub-nosed monkey), 137 nucleotides long. RefSeq annotates it as U4 spliceosomal RNA. The record is from RefSeq and is a predicted model, not a curated record. NCBI's taxonomy places the organism in Eukaryota, Metazoa, Chordata, Mammalia, Primates, Cercopithecidae. The transcript has a single exon.